Molecule: transfer RNA, 71 nt
Filed under: Anaerolineae bacterium
Lineage: Bacteria; Bacillati; Chloroflexota; Anaerolineae
Rfam family: tRNA
About the family: Transfer RNA (tRNA) molecules are approximately 80 nucleotides in length. Their secondary structure includes four short double-helical elements and three loops (D, anti-codon, and T loops).
Source: Rfam by way of RNAcentral
GCGGGUGUGGCGCAGUGGUAGCGCAACUGCUUCCCAAGCAGUGAGUCGUGGGUUGAAUCCCAUCACCCGCU